This 1668-nucleotide long non-coding RNA is filed under the name Canis lupus familiaris (dog). RNAcentral describes it as "lncRNA (ENSCAFG00040021639.1)". Lineage: Eukaryota; Metazoa; Chordata; Mammalia; Carnivora; Canidae. The record is from RNAcentral.
AUGUCCUCCCACCAUCCCCACGCAGCCACAGAGGCCAGGCCACAGGGGUCAGGCUGCGGGGCUCAGGUUGCAGGGGUCAGGCCUAGGGCUCAGGUCACAGGGCUCAGGCAGCAGGGGUCAGGCCCAGGGCUCAGGUCACAGGGCUCAGGCAGCAGGGGUCAGGCUGCAGGGCUCAGGCCGCAGGGGUCAGGCUGCAGGGGUCGGGCCCAGGGCUCAGGCCGCGGGGCUCAGGCCACAGGGGUCAGGCCGCAGGGGUCAAGCCCAGGGGUCAGGCUGCAGGACUCAGGCUGCAGGGGUCAGGCCCAGGGCUCAGGCCACAGGGGUCAGGCUGCAGGACUCAAGCCGCAGGGGUCAGGCCCAGGGCUCAGGCCGCAGGGCUCAGGCAGCAAGGGUCAGGCCGCAGGGGUCAGGCCCAGGGGUCAGGCCGCAGGGGUCAGGCCCAGGGCUCAGGCCGCGGGGGUCAGGCUGCAGGACUCAGGCCGCAGGGGUCAGGCCCAGGGCUCAGGCAGCAAGGGUCAGGCCGCAGGGGUCAGGCCACAGGGGUCAGGCCCAGGGCUCAGGCCGUGGGGGUCAGGCCCAGGGCUCAGGCCACAGGGCUCAGGCAGCAGGGGCCAGGCUGCAGGGGUCAGGCCCAGGGCUCAGGCCACAGGGGUCAGGCCGUGGGGCUCAGGUCACGGGGGUCAGUUCCAGGGGUCAGGCUGCAGGGCUCAGGCCCAGGGGUCAGGCCCAGGGCUCAGGCCACAAGGCUCAGGCAGCAGGGGUCAGGCUGCAGGGGUCAGGCCCAGGGCUCAGGCCGCGGGGGUCAGGCCGCGGGGCUCGGGUCACGGGGGUCAGUUCCAGGGGUCAGGCUGCAGGGGUCAGGCCCAGGGCUCAGGCCGCAGGCGGCGGGCAGACAGGGCACAUGGCCCAGCCGCCCCGGGACCCCCUGAACUGAACGAGGCCAGGUCUCCAGAUGCGCCCAGCGGUCCCGGAAAGGGGCUAAGCUGCAGCUGCUGGCUCGGCCGCCAGCAGGUCCCGGACGGACAUUCGGGGUCCCGGAUCGCGGCCGUGAGCAGGGCCCCGGGGCACCGGGCCGGCGCUCCCCCCCCCGCCCCCCGCCCCUCGCGUCUAGGUCGGGGACAGCGCAGCGGGCCAGGAGCGCGCGCGGCUGCCGAGCUGCGGCGGCGCGGCGGACACACGGACGGAGGGACGGAGGGACGCGGCGCGGGCCCUCGCACAGGUGGUCGUCCGCGCGGCCCGCCCCCCGCCCCCGCCCCCGCCCCCGCCCCGCCCCGCAGCGCCCCGGCCUCCCGCCCGCCCGGCUUCCGGCGCCGCAGUUGCCCGGCGACGCGCGCCCCCACCCCCGCCGCCGCCCCCCGCCCCCGCCGCCGCCGCCGCCGCCAACUUUCCUCCCGAGUUUCCCGGGGGCCGCGGGCCGCGGGCGGGCGGGCGGGGGUCGGGCCGAGGGAGCGGAGGGGCUCGGGGGCCGGGCCGGCGGGCGGGCGCUGCGCCCGGGGCCCGGCUCCCCUCCCCCACGCCCGGCCCCGCCCGGCCCCGCCGCCCCCGCCCGCCGCCCCCCGCCGACGCGGGGCCGGGUCCCGGGCCGCUCACCUGGACCGCGGUCCCUCCGGUGCCGGCCGAGCCUCGCCGCCCACCCCGCCCCCGCCCCGCAGGCCCGCGACCCGCUGA